RNAcentral lists this ribosomal RNA (552 nucleotides) under Pichia manshurica. Its description in RNAcentral is "partial large subunit ribosomal RNA". It matches the Rfam family "Eukaryotic large subunit ribosomal RNA", at positions 77 to 655 of the family's 3401-position model. The record is from RNAcentral. Lineage: Eukaryota; Fungi; Ascomycota; Pichiomycetes; Pichiales; Pichiaceae.
GCCCAGUAGCGGGCGAGUGAAGCGGCAAGAGCUCAGAUUUGAAAUCGUGUUUCGGCACGAGUUGUAGAGUGUAGGCGGGAGUCUCUGUGGAGCGCGGUGUCCAAGUCCCUUGGAACAGGGUGCCUGAGAGGGUGAGAGCCCCGUAGGGUGCUGCGCGAAGCUUUUGAGGCCCUGCUGACGAGUCGAGUUGUUUGGGAAUGCAGCUCCAAGCGGGUGGUAAAUUCCAUCUAAGGCUAAAUAUUGGCGAGAGACCGAUAGCGAACAAGUACUGUGAAGGAAAGAUGAAAAGCACUUUGAAAAGAGAGUGAAACAGCACGUGAAAUUGUUGAAAGGGAAGGGUAUUGGGCUCGACAUGGGGGGUGCGCACCGCUGUCUCUUGUAGGCGGCGCUCUGGGCGCCCUCUGGGCCAGCAUCGGUUCCUGCUGCGGGAGAAGGGGCUCCGGAAAGUGGCUCUUCGGAGUGUUAUAGCCGGGGCCAGAUGCCGCGUGUGGGGACCGAGGACUGCGGCUUCUGUCUCGGAUGCUGGCAUAACGGCGCAAUACCGCCCGUCUU